Molecule: unclassified non-coding RNA, 238 nt
Filed under: Ascomycota sp.
Lineage: Eukaryota; Fungi; Ascomycota
Description: partial contains small subunit ribosomal RNA, internal transcribed spacer 1, and 5.8S ribosomal RNA
Rfam family: Eukaryotic small subunit ribosomal RNA (bases 1-47)
Source: RNAcentral
AAAGUCGUAACAAGGUCUCCGUUGGUGAACCAGCGGAGGGAUCAUUACAAGAGUAGCCCUAGGCUCUCCAACCCACUGUGAACAUACCUACGUUCCCCCGGCGGGCUCAGCGCGCGGUGCCUCCGGGCGCCGGGCGUCCGCCGAGGGCAUCCAAACUCGAAUUUAUUACGUGUAUAUCUGAGGGGCGAAAGCCUGUAAAAAUAAAUCAAAACUUUCAACAACGGAUCUCUUGGCUCUG